RNAcentral lists this ribosomal RNA (459 nucleotides) under uncultured bacterium. RNAcentral describes it as "partial 16S ribosomal RNA". It matches the Rfam family "Bacterial small subunit ribosomal RNA", at positions 338 to 795 of the family's 1533-position model. The record is from RNAcentral.
CCUACGGGUGGCAGCAGUGAGGAAUAUUGGUCAAUGGGCGCGAGCCUGAACCAGCCAAGUCGCGUGAGGGAAGACGGUCCUAUGGAUUGUAAACCUCUUUUGUCGGGGAGAAAAAGACGCCACGCGUGGCGUUCCGAGAGUACCCGAAGAAAAAGCAUCGGCUAACUCCGUGCCAGCAGCCGCGGUAAUACGGAGGAUGCGAGCGUUAUCCGGAUUUAUUGGGUUUAAAGGGUGCGCAGGCGGAAGAUCAAGUCUGCGGUAAAAUUGAGAGGCUCAACCUCUUCGAGCCGUUGAAACUGGUUUGCUUGAGUGAGUGAGAAGUAGGUGGAAUGCGUGGUGUAGCGGUGAAAUGCAUAGAUAUCACGCAGAACUCCGAUUGCGAAGGCAGCAUACCGGCGCUCAACUGACGCUCAUGCACGAAAGUGUGGGUAUCGAACAGGAUUAGAUACCCGAGUAGUC